GAUGAACGCUGGCGGCGUGCCUAAUACAUGCAAGUAGAACGCUGAAGGAGGAGCUUGCUCUUUCCGGAUGAGUUGCGAACGGGUGAGUAACGCGUAGGUAACCUGCCUGGUAGCGGGGGAUAACUAUUGGAAACGAUAGCUAAUACCGCAUAACAGUAGAUAUUGCAUGAUAUUUGCUUGAAAGGGGCAAUUGCUCCACUACCAGAUGGACCUGCGUUGUAUUAGCUAGUUGGUGAGGUAACGGCUCACCCAGGCGACGGUACAUAGCCGAACUGAGAGGGCGCAGGGACCCACUACGACUGAGACACAGCCCAGAAACCUACAAGAGGCAGCAGAAAGAAAUCUCGGGCAAUCGACGGAAGUCUCACCGCGGAACGCCGAGUGAGAGCGGAAGAAUUUCGGAUCGCAAAACUCUGUUGUAACAGAAUAACGAGUGUGGGAGUGGAAAGUUCACAAUGUGACGGUAUCUUACCAGAAAGACACGGCUAACUACGUG
Molecule: ribosomal RNA, 496 nt
Filed under: uncultured bacterium
Lineage: Bacteria
Description: partial 16S ribosomal RNA
Rfam family: Bacterial small subunit ribosomal RNA
Source: RNAcentral